AGUCGAGCGAGUCUGCCUUGAAGAUCGGAGUGCUUGCACUCUGUGAAACAAGAUACAGGCUAGCGGCGGACGGGUGAGUAACACGUGGGUAACCUGCCCAAGAGAUCGGGAUAACACCUGGAAACAGAUGCUAAUACCGGAUAACAACAGAUGAUGCCUAUCAACUGUUUAAAAGAUGGUUCUGCUAUCACUCUUGGAUGGACCUGCGGUGCAUUAGCUAGUUGGUAGGGUAACGGCCUACCAAGGCGAUGAUGCAUAGCCGAGUUGAGAGACUGAUCGGCCACAUUGGGACUGAGACACGGCCCAAACUCCUACGGGAGGCAGCAGUAGGGAAUCUUCCACAAUGGACGCAAGUCUGAUGGAGCAACGCCGCGUGAGUGAAGAAGGGUUUCGGCUCGUAAAGCUCUGUUGUUGGUGAAGAAGGACAGGGGUAGUAACUGACCUUUGUUUGACGGUAAUCAAUUAGAAAGUCACGGCUAACUACGUGCCAGCAGCCGCGGUAAUACGUAGGUGGCAAGCGUUGUCCGGAUUUAUUGGGCGUAAAGCGAGUGCAGGCGGCUCGAUAAGUCUGAUGUGAAAGCCUUCGGCUCAACCGGAGAAUUGCAUCAGAAACUGUCGAGCUUGAGUACAGAAGAGGAGAGUGGAGCUCCAUGUGUAGCGGUGAAAUGCGUAGAUAUAUGGAAGAACACCGGUGGCGAAGGCGGCUCUCUGGUCUGUUACUGACGCUGAGGCUCGAAAGCAUGGGUAGCGAACAGGAUUAGAUACCCUGGUAGUCCAUGCCGUAAACGAUGAGUGCUAAGUGUUGGAGGUUUCCGCCUCUCAGUGCUGCAGCUAACGCAUUA
This 842-nucleotide ribosomal RNA is filed under the name uncultured bacterium. RNAcentral describes it as "bacterial SSU rRNA". It matches the Rfam family "Bacterial small subunit ribosomal RNA", at positions 60 to 862 of the family's 1533-position model. The record is from RNAcentral.